Molecule: long non-coding RNA, 1528 nt
Organism: Xiphophorus couchianus (Monterrey platyfish)
Lineage: Eukaryota; Metazoa; Chordata; Actinopteri; Cyprinodontiformes; Poeciliidae
Exons: 2
Source: RefSeq, a predicted model, not a curated record
CAGGACUCUGGAGAACCUGACUGCAUUUAGGAGGUGAUUCAGCUAUUGGAUUCAAGUGUGCUGGACCAGGGAGACAUCUAAGAGUUGCAGGACACCGGCCCUCGAGGACCAGGAGUGCCCACCCCUGAGCUAGCCCAAGCUCAGUAUUAAAGGGUCAGUUAGCUCAUAAUGAGAAGGCAGAAGAAGACGGUUGGUUUGUGGCUAUGCAGCCAUUUCUUUGUUAACUUGGAUGAUUAUUUUCACCAGUAAUGACCCGUCUUCAGUUUUCAAGAGGUCACCAGACUUCCCAGUAGAGUUCAUGAUGUAAUCACAGAUUCUACACCAUACACAACAGUGUCCAUGAGUUGCUCCAUUCAUCCCCUGGUUUGUGUCCAAACCCACCUGAAGUGUUUGCUGCAGUAGUUAAUUAGUUACACUAAUCUGACAACAGCACAUAUUUUCCAUUGAAGUCAGUAGUUCUAUCAGUAGUCAGUAGUUUGUAAAGCUCAACAGAUUUAUGUUAGUGAUGAUAGGACAGGAAUUGUAUUCUCCUAGUAUGUCUUCCCCAACAGGGACUGGCAUCCAGAUAGGCUCUAAUGGUUUUUCUACAGACUUGGCAACUCAAAUAUUCCACAUUAUGCAGCAGAUUUUAAUGUGCAAUAAGCUUUGGAGAUUUAUUAACAAACCUCCACACUGUGCCUGGUGGUAUGAUAAACCCAGCUGCUUGUCUUUUCUAUCACCGUUUUGGUUGUUUAAAGAUUUUAAAUAAUUGCACCGACUGUAGAUGCGAGGAUGUUCAGGCCAGUAGCAUUUUUUUAAAUAUGUCCUGAUUUAUGAAAACCAACGCAUUAGCUUUGCUUGAAUGUUAUAUUCCCUUUUCUUUCCUAUUUUACAAAGUGGUGCCAUACUGUGGCUGUUAAAGAUUAUGUGUGUUUUUAGCCACAUAAUCACUAAGGAGAUGCACAAUUAAAUGAGACAAUAAAUCAAUGAAUAGAUCUCUGAAAAGUUCCUCCUCUCUUCUGAGAUCAUGGUUACUCCCUUGUAUAUGUGUUACAUCAUAUUUAUACCCCUGGGAAACAAGUAGUCAUGGAUCUAAUCAACUUAAAAAAUAAACUAUAAAUUAUUAUUUUUUUUUUUUUUUACAAGAAUUGCUUGUAGUGUCAAUUUCAGUGUCAAUUUUAGAAUUAGAAUCUGUUAUCUUGUAAAAAAAAAAACUAUUCGUAAUUAUUUUUUACUCUACGUAGAUCUACUCAAAUUAAAGUUUGGAUUUUUCCGUAUAAAAGAUUGAUUAUUAUUUAUUUAUUUUUUGGUCAACUAACCUUUCACCAACAUUUGUGAAAAGCAGUGUCCUAGAAUCAACUCUAGCUGUCCUGCUUUACCUUGGUGCUGGCUACUCCAAUCUCUGGGCCAGCAUUAAUGUGGACUCCACAGUCUGUCUCCCUGGAGAUGGAGCUCCCCACCGUGUUGGUGACGCCAACAGUCAGCGCGCCUCUCUCCUUACAGUAGCGCAGAGCCAAGAGGCUGUCGGCGGUCUCCCCUGCAGGGUUGG